GACGAACGCUGGCGGCGUGCUUAACACAUGCAAGUCGAACGGAAAGGCCCUGCUUUUGUGGGGUGCUCGAGUGGCGAACGGGUGAGUAACACGUGAGUAACCUGCCCUUGACUUUGGGAUAACUUCAGGAAACUGGGGCUAAUACCGGAUAGGAGCUCCUGCUGCAUGGUGGGGGUUGGAAAGUUUCGGCGGUUGGGGAUGGACUCGCGGCUUAUCAGCUUGUUGGUGGGGUAGUGGCUUACCAAGGCUUGGACGGGUAGCCGGCCUGGGAGGGUGACCGGCCACAUAGGCACUGGGAAGCGGCCAGGAGGCAUUCGGGAGGAAAGGGCGGGGAAUAUAGGAAAAGGGGCGGAGGCAGGAAGGAGCAACGCCGGGUGGGGGAACACGGCUUCGGGUUGUAAACCGCUUUCGCCUGUGACGAAGAGUGAGUGACGGUAAUGGGUAAAGAAGCACCGGCUAACUACGUG
Molecule: ribosomal RNA, 467 nt
Filed under: uncultured bacterium
Lineage: Bacteria
Description: partial 16S ribosomal RNA
Rfam family: Bacterial small subunit ribosomal RNA
Source: RNAcentral